GCCGCUUUAGCACUGAAGGUCAGUGUAUCCGUCUGAAACAUGGAAGAAUGCGGUUCGAUCCCGCGAGGCGGCG
This 73-nucleotide transfer RNA is filed under the name Chloroflexota bacterium. Its description in RNAcentral is "Chloroflexi bacterium (groundwater metagenome) tRNA-Phe". It matches the Rfam family "tRNA". Rfam says of the family: Transfer RNA (tRNA) molecules are approximately 80 nucleotides in length. Their secondary structure includes four short double-helical elements and three loops (D, anti-codon, and T loops). The record is from RNAcentral. Lineage: Bacteria; Bacillati; Chloroflexota.